CUACGGGUUGCUCCAGUGGGGAAUAUUGCACAAUGGACGAAAGUCUGAUGCAGCAACGCCGCGUGGAGGAUGACACAUUUCGGUGCGUAAACUCCUUUUAUAUAGGAAGAUAAUGACAGUACUAUAUGAAUAAGCACCGGCUAACUCCGUGCCAGCAGCCGCGGUAAUACGGAGGGUGCAAGCGUUACUCGGAAUCACUGGGCGUAAAGAGCGUGUAGGCGGGUUAAUAAGUUGGAAGUGAAAUCCUAUGGCUCAACCAUAGAACUGCUUCCAAAACUGUUAACCUAGAAUAUGGGAGAGGUAGAUGGAAUUUCUGGUGUAGGGGUAAAAUCCGUAGAGAUCAGAAGGAAUACCGAUUGCGAAGGCGAUCUACUGGAACAUUAUUGACGCUGAGACGCGAAAGCGUGGGGAGCAAACAGGAUUAGAUACCCCCGUAGUC
This 439-nucleotide ribosomal RNA is filed under the name uncultured bacterium. RNAcentral describes it as "partial 16S ribosomal RNA". It matches the Rfam family "Bacterial small subunit ribosomal RNA", at positions 339 to 795 of the family's 1533-position model. The record is from RNAcentral.